Molecule: long non-coding RNA, 316 nt
Filed under: Cricetulus griseus (Chinese hamster)
Lineage: Eukaryota; Metazoa; Chordata; Mammalia; Rodentia; Cricetidae
Description: lncRNA (ENSCGRG00000024185.1)
Source: RNAcentral
CAGCCUGGACUGCAAUGAAACAACCAGCUACCCCAGGAUAUGGAAGCACCCCAACUUUCUCAGGCCCCCAAAAGAUGGUCAACGCCCCCCAGGGCUGAAGCGGCGUCAGGACCUGAUGGGACAAGAAAGAGAACCUCCAGCAACAAUGCCCGACAAGCACUCUCCUACUGAGCUACUUUUCAUACCCCAUGCCUUCAUCUCAAAAAUAUUUGUCUAAAUAUUUUGCCAGCUUUUAACAGGCUGUUUUCUCUGCUGAAUAACAGUUGAUGUAUGUGAGAUAUUGUCUGCUCUGGCUCCUUUUCACUCUGUAUUUGUC